RNAcentral lists this ribosomal RNA (434 nucleotides) under uncultured bacterium. RNAcentral describes it as "partial 16S ribosomal RNA". It matches the Rfam family "Bacterial small subunit ribosomal RNA", at positions 29 to 507 of the family's 1533-position model. The record is from RNAcentral.
AGCGAACGCUGGCGGCAGGCCUAACACAUGCAAGUCGAACGAACCUUUCGGGGUUAGUGGCGGACGGGCGAGUAACACGUGGGAACGUGCCCUUAGGUUCGGAAUAACUCAGGGAAACUUGUGCUAAUACCGAAUGUGCCCUUCGGGGGAAAGAUUUAUCGCCUUUAGAGCGGCCCGCGUCUGAUUAGCUAGUUGGGUGAGGUAAUGGCUCACCAAGGCGACGAUGAGUAGCUGGUCUGCGACGAUGAUCAGCCACAUUGGAACUGAGACACGGCCCAAACUCCUACGGGAGGCAGCAGUGGGGAAUCUUGCGCAAUGGGCGAAAGCCUGACGCAGCCAUGCCGCGUGAAUGAUGAAGGUCUUAGGAUUGUAAAAUUCUUUCACCGGAGACGAUAAUGACGGUACCCGGAGAAGAAGCCCCGGCUAACUUCGUG